This 520-nucleotide ribosomal RNA is filed under the name uncultured bacterium. Its description in RNAcentral is "bacterial SSU rRNA". It matches the Rfam family "Bacterial small subunit ribosomal RNA", at positions 32 to 518 of the family's 1533-position model. The record is from RNAcentral.
AGGACGACGCUGGCGGCGUGCCUAAUACAGUGCAAGUCGAACGGUCUUUUCUAUGGAAGCUUGCUUCCACUGAGAAGAUAGUGGCGAACGGGUGAGUAACACGUGGGUAACCUGCCCAUAAGAGGGGGAUAACAUCCGGAAACGGGUGCUAAUACCGCAUAGUUUUCUUGAUCGCAUGAUCGGGAAAGGAAAGACGGCCUUUGUGCUGUCGCUUGUGGAUGGACCCGCGGCGUAUUAGUUAGUUGGUGAGGUAACGGCUCACCAAGACGAUGAUACGUAGCCGACCUGAGAGGGUGAUCGGCCACAUUGGGACUGAGACACGGCCCAAACUCCUACGGGAGGCAGCAGUAGGGAAUCUUCCGCAAUGGACGAAAGUCUGACGGAGCAACGCCGCGUGAGUGAAGAAAGGUUUUCGGAUCGUAAAACUCUGUUGUCAGAGAAGAACAAGUUGGAGAGUAACUGCUCCAGCCUUGACGGUAUCUGACCAGAAAGCCACGGCUAACUACGUGCCAGCAGCCGC